This 84-nucleotide non-coding RNA is filed under the name uncultured Prevotella sp. RNAcentral's name for it is "TPP riboswitch (THI element)". It matches the Rfam family "TPP riboswitch aptamer (THI element)", at positions 6 to 93 of the family's 105-position model. Rfam says of the family: Vitamin B(1) in its active form thiamin pyrophosphate (TPP) is an essential coenzyme that is synthesised by coupling of pyrimidine and thiazole moieties in bacteria. The record is from RNAcentral. Lineage: Bacteria; Pseudomonadati; Bacteroidota; Bacteroidia; Bacteroidales; Prevotellaceae.
AUAUCAAGGGGUGCCUGCAUGUUGCAGGCUGAGAUGAUACCCUCUAAACCUGAUUCGGACAAUACCGACGUAGGGAUGAUAGAG